GAUAGAACAUUAUACCUGGAAUGGUUUAUGUUCCAAAUGAUUUAUCGCCGUAGGAUGGGACUGCGGCCUAUCAGUUUGUUGGUGAGGUAAUGGCCCACCAAGACUAUUACAGGUACGGGCUCUGAGAGGAGUAGCCCGGAGAUGGGUACUGAGACACGGACCCAGGCCCUAUGGGGCGCAGCAGGCGAGAAAACUUUGCAAUGUGCGAAAGCACGACAAGGUUAAUCCGAGUGAUUUGUGCUAAACGAAUCUUUUGUUAGUCCUAGAAACACUAACGAAUAAGGGGUGGGCAAGUUCUGGUGUCAGCCGCCGCGGUAAAACCAGCACCUCAAGUGGUCAGGAUGAUUAUUGGGCCUAAAGCAUCCGUAGCCGGCUCUGUAAGUUUUCGGUUAAAUCUGUACGCUCAACGUACAGGCUGCCGGGAAUACUGCAAAGCUAGGGAGUGGGAGAAGUAGACGGUACUCGGUAGGAAGUGGUAAAAUGCUUUGAUCUAUCGAUGACCACCUGUGGCGAAGGCGGUCUACUAGAACACGUCCGACGGUGAGGGAUGAAAGCUGGGGGAGCAAACCGGAUUAGAUACCCGGGUAGUCCCAGCUGUAAACUAUGCAAACUCAGUGAUGCAUUGGCUUGUGGCCAAUGCAGUGCUGCAGGGAAGCCGUUAAGUUUGCCGCCUGGGAAGUACGUACGCAAGUAUGAAACUUAAAGGAAUUGGCGGGGGAGCACCACAAGGGGUGAAGCCUGCGGUUCAAUUGGAUUCAACGCCGGA
RNAcentral lists this ribosomal RNA (766 nucleotides) under uncultured archaeon. RNAcentral describes it as "bacterial SSU rRNA". It matches the Rfam family "Archaeal small subunit ribosomal RNA", at positions 155 to 922 of the family's 1478-position model. The record is from RNAcentral.